Molecule: long non-coding RNA, 250 nt
Filed under: Nicotiana benthamiana
Lineage: Eukaryota; Viridiplantae; Streptophyta; Magnoliopsida; Solanales; Solanaceae
Description: long non-coding RNA (NBEN_LNC001272)
Source: RNAcentral
UCUUCUCGAUCCUUCUCUCAACUACCCCUUUCUCUCUCUUGUUUCUCUCACUAUAUUCUCCACGAUUCUUCAGUUUAAUCUUAAUGUUUUCAUGGUAUCAGAGCCUAGACGAUGAUGCGACUAUGUUUUUCUGCAUCUUGUUAUCUUGGUUGAUGUCUCGUUUGAGAUUUUUGGGGGUGUUUCUGAUGCAUGUGGUCGAUGACGAUUCCGAUCUAAAUCGGAUGCUUUUCUGAGACUUUCAUCGUGAUAU